Molecule: ribosomal RNA, 424 nt
Filed under: uncultured bacterium
Lineage: Bacteria
Description: bacterial SSU rRNA
Rfam family: Bacterial small subunit ribosomal RNA
Source: RNAcentral
GGACCCGCACAAGUAGUGGAGCAUGUGGUUUAAUUCGAAGAUACGCGCAGAACCUUACCAACACUUGACAUGUUCGUCGCGACUUUAAGAGAUUAAAGUUUCGUUCGGCCGGACGAAACACAGGUGCUGCAUGGCUGUCGUCAGCUCGUGUCGUGAGAUGUUGGGUUAAGUCCCGCAACGAGCGCAACCCUCACUUUUAGUUGCCAUCAUUUAGUUGGGCACUCUGAAAGAACUGCCAGUGAUAAGCUGGAGGAAGGUGGGGAUGACGUCAAGUCCUCAUGGCCCUUACGUGUUGGGCUACACACGUGCUACAAUGGUAUCUACAACAGGAAGCAAAACGGCGACGUUAAGCAAAUCCUCAAAAGAUACCUCAGUUCGGAUUGCACUCUGCAACUCGAGUGCAUGAAGCUGGAAUUACUAGUAA